This 11027-nucleotide long non-coding RNA is filed under the name Homo sapiens (human). RNAcentral describes it as "HSALNT0315978". Lineage: Eukaryota; Metazoa; Chordata; Mammalia; Primates; Hominidae. The record is from RNAcentral.
AAAGUGCAGAGAGCUCCAUCAGAGAAAUGCAGUUAAAAUCCAGUAGAUACCACCGUACACCUGAAAGACUUGUGAACAAACAGAUGACAGAAAAACAAAACAAAGCAAAACAGAACCUGAGAAUUUGAAUUGCUGCUUCUUUGGACCUUUUAAGUUGCAUUAUCCCAUAAAAUGUGGUGGAUUCAAUGUUGUAUGGCCUGUAAAACUAAGUAAUGAAGGCUGAUAUGUACCCACCUGGCUCUGUCUUGGGAUCACACAACUUGGGAGCCAAAACAGAUUGCAAAUGAUGUUCAAAUCAAGGACUGGCUUAAGGGAGAAAAUCAAUUAUACUGUACAACUCACACUUAAGACCUCAGAGAGAUCUAAGAUGAUUCUUUAUAUAAUUUUUAAAACAAUCACCCCUCUAAGGAGCAUAACAAUGUGUUUUAAAUGUCCUCCCCAUUAUACAGUGAGACUUAUAAGAAUCUCAAGGAUGGUGUCCCAAGGCAAACUCAUGGCAAGAUCAAGAAAGAGAAUGGCCUGUCUUGACAAGAUUUGUGGUUUUGGCUUUCGUCUGAUGGAAUGAAUUGUACACAAAUACACAGAAAUCCCACAAAUAUUAAAAUAAUUGUAUCAACUUGUAAGAAAAAGGGAAAGAAAUAGCUUAAAAUGGAAUAUUGCUAAGCCCUCAAACCUUUACAAGCAGGAAAUAGGUGUAAACAGGCUUAGGAAAAUGGAAGGUGGACUCAGGGCAGAUUGAGGAGAUCUUGGAGUGCAGCAAAGAGCCAUAGAGAGCAAUUUCCAGGGAGUAGGACUGAACUCUAACCAAAUAAUUGGCAGCAUGUGCCUGGCAUUUCAGGAUUGACAUGGACCGGUGACUACUGUGUUCCUUCCCAUUCCCCACCCUUUUGUGUAGGAUUGUCUGUAGCAGUUUCCCAAUGCCUGUUCCUCCACUUGACGUUGGGUAUUUGGAGAACAAGAAAAAUUCUCUUUUUAGGUCAGAUGUGUGACAUGUAUCACAUUGUAAAAAAGAGUGCUCAAUGAGCUGUAUUUCAGGAAUUGCACUUAAGGGGAAUUAUUUUUACCUAUAUUGGAUUAAUAUGAUAAGAUUUUGAACUUUGAGCUUAUGUAAUUAUGAAGUGAGACCUUUAGUCUUGGGGAAUGACUGUAUUUUAUAUGCGAGAGGUAUAUAAAUCACUGUGGCCUGAAGAUAGACUGUGGCAGAUUGUAUUUUUCAAAGAUUUCCUGUCACACUUUUUUUUUAUUCUUUAUUUUUCUCUUUCUUUCUCUUUCCUCUUUCUCUUUCCCUUCCUCCCUUCCUUCCUUCUUUCCUUCCUUCCUUCCUUCCUUCCUUCCUUCCUUCCUUCCUUCCUUCCUUCUUUUCUUUCUUUCUUUCUGAGAGGGUCUCACUCUGUUUCCUGGCUAGAGUGGUGUCACAUUCAUAGCUCACUGUAGCUCAAACUCCUGAGUGCAAACAAUCCUCCUACAUCAGCCUCCCAAGUAGCUUGGACCACAGGUGUGCAUCCACUCCUGGCUAAUUUUUUAAUUUUAAUUUUUGUAGAGACGGGGUCUCACUUUGUUGCUCAGACUGAUCUUGAAUUCCUGGCUUCAAGAGAUCCUGCUGCCUCAACCUCUAAACUUGCUGGGAUUGCAGGUGUGAACCACCAUGCCCAGCUACUUUCUUUUUCUUACAAUAUGCCUUUGAUGCUCUUCCCAUCAAGAGGUAUUCCUUUCCCUUGAAUAUGGGCAAGGCUGUGAUUAUUAAUGCUAUAUGACUUUUGAGAGUAGGUCAUGAAGCAUGAUACAUUUUCCUAGUUCAUUUAGGAUGCUUGCUCUUAAUACCUAGCCCCUAUGCUUGUAUAAGUCCAAGAGACCUGUUGUGGGGAGGCUCACAUGAAGAAGAACGCAGGCACCUAGCCUACAGUCUGAUUGAGCUCUCAUCUGAUAACCCAUAAGAACUUGAGAGCCUUGUGAGUAAACCAUCUUGAAUCUUUCAGGACCCAGUUGAAACACUUCAGCUGAUGCUGCAUGGAUCAUUGCGGAUUUGUGAGCAAAAUAAAUUAAUAUAGCUUUUUGUUUUAAUUAAACAAUAUUUUUUGAGACAAGAUCUCAUUUUGUCACCCAGGUGGGAGUACAGUGGCACAUUCACAGAUCACUGUAGCCUCAAAUUCCUAAGCACAGGAGGUCCUCCCACCUCAGCCUCCCCAGUAGCUGAGACCACAGCAUGUGCCACUGUGUCUGGCUAAUUUUUUAUUUUUUUGUAGAAACGGAGUCUUGCUAUGUUGCCCAGGCUGGCCUCAUGUGAUCCACUUGCCUCAGUCUUCCAAAUUGUUGGGAUUACAAGUGUGAGGCACUGCACUGAGCCCAAUAUUCCUUUUUAAGCUACUAAGUUUUGGACUGAUUUGCUUCCCAGCAGUAUACGAUUGAUAAAACACAGAAUAUAGAAUAAAAUUAAUCUCUUAUGUUGUCCUAUGAGGCUUUGUGAGAUUUAGUUUCUACCAACACCCCAAAGUCAUGUCAUACCAUUUUUCACUGUGCUUACUUUGCUUCACUGACUUUUCUCCUGUUUUCUAAAACUAGCUAGUUCUUAUCUUCAGGCUUUGUCAUUGUCAUUCCCUGCUGAGAAUAUUGUCUGUCCAAAUCUUGUAAUUCAGACUCAAAAAUAGUCUGUGGCCACUCAAUCUAAAGUAACCCACCACAAACUCUAGCCCAUCUCCCUAUUUAUUUUCAUCAUGAUAUUUAUAUCUAUCUCAUCUAAAUUUUAUCUAUUUGUCAUCUAUCUAAUUGAAAUUUCAUGUUUCUUUACUACUAAUACGCAAGCUCUGUUAAGACAGAAGUAUUUAGUUUAAUUAGAUCCCAUUUGUCAAUUUUGGUUUUUGUUGCCAUUGCUCUUGGUGUUUUAGACAUGAAGUCUUUGCCCAUGCCUAUGUUCUGAAUGGUAUUGCCUAGGUUUUUGUCUAGGAUUUUUAUGGUUUUAGGUCUAACAUUUAAGUCUUUAAUCCAUCUUGAAUUAAUUUUUGUAUAAGGCGUAAGGAAGGGAUCCAGUUUCAGCUUUCUACAUAUGGCUAGUCAGUUUUCCCAGCACUAUUUCUUAAACAGGGAAUCCUUUCCCCGUUUCUUGUUUUUGUCAGGUUUGUCAAAGAUCAGAUAGUUGUAGAUAUGUGGCAUUAUUUCUGAGGGCUCUGUUCUAUUCCAUUGGCCUAUAUCUCUGUUAUAGGGACACUUUUACACUGUUGGUGGGACUGUAAACUAGUUCAACCACUGUAGAAGUCAGUGUGGCGAUUCCUCAGGGAUCUAGAACUAGAAAUACCAUUUGACCCAGCCAUCUCAUUACUGGGUACAUACCCAAAGGAUUAUAAACCAUGUUGCUAUAAAGACACAUGCACACGUAUGUUUAUUGUGGCACUAUUCAUAAUAGCAAAGACUUGGAACCAACCCAAAUGUCCAACAAUGAUAGACUGGAUUAAGAAAAUGUGGCACAUAUACACCAUGGAAUACUAUGCAGCCAUAAAAAAUGAUGAGUUCAUGUCCUUUGUAGAGACAUGGAUGAAGCUGGAAACCAUCAUUCUCAGCAAACUAUUGCAAGGACAAAAAACUGAACACCACAUGUUCUCACUUGUAGGUAGGAAUUGAACAAUGAGAACACAUGGACACAGGAAGGAGAACAUCACACACCGGGGCCUGUUGUGAGGUGGGGGGAGCGGGGAGGGAUAGCAUUUGGAGAUAUACCUAAUGUAAAUGACGAGUUAAUGGGUGCAGCACCCCAACAUGGCACAUGUAUACAUAUGUAACAAACCUGCACGUUGUGCACAUGUACCCUAGAACUUAAAGUAUAAUAAAAAAAAAAGAAAAAAAAGAAAGACAGAAGUAUUGUUCAUCUUGUUUUCUUCCCUAAUCACGUUACCUAGAACAGUGCCUAUCAGAUAGUAGGCACUCCACAAAUAUUUGUUGACUUAAUGAACCAGUGGAAAUAAAUAUUAAUUCAGUUUUACAUUACACAGCAAAAUAGAAAUCCAAUAUUUAAUCCAGUUCAUAUUACAAAAUAAUACCUUCUUUUUAAAAAUUAAAUCCAUUAAAUUGACAUAGAAAAAUCUUCACCAUCUCAUGACUUUAUAAAAACAAAAUUGGUUUCUAUACCACUUGGAUUAUUUCUACAAAUUCUAUUUAUAUGGUUUGUGUCAAUAAACCAUAGAAAAUAAAAUUUUCAAAUAAAACUUAUAUAUUUGUUAUUUGAUCUUGUUCUACUUAUAUGAAUCUUUUAUUUCAUGCAAAUAAAACCCAAAAUAUGAUUCAGCAACUUUCAGUCUGUUUUUAGAGGCAGAGUCUUGAUAUUUCACCCAGGCUGGAGUGCAGUGUCACAAUCAUGGCUCACUUCAGGCUCAACCUCCUAGGCCCAAAAGAUUUAUUCACCUCAACCUCCUGAGUAGCUGGGAUUACAGGUGUGCACCACCAUGCCUGGAUAAGUUUUAUAGUUUUUGUAGACACAAGGUCUCGCUAUACUGCCCAGGCUGGUCUGGAACUCCUGGACUCAACUAAUCCUUCCACCUCAGCCUCCCAAAGUAUUGGAAUUACAGGUGUAAUCCACCAUGCUUGGCCAAUUUUCAUUCUUUAAUGUUAGGCUUUGAGUUUAGUAUCAAACUUUAAAACAAAAGCAACAACAACAAAAAACAAAAAACAUUUCCAAAAAAGAAAAAAAGUACUGGUAGCAGUCAAUAAAAGAAAAGACUCCAAUUUCCAGGAAUUUGGAAUGUGGAAUCCUGGCAUUAUAGAGAUACAGCUUUUUCAUCUAAUUAAUGUAUAAAAUAGUCAAUACUUUCAUUUUAUUUUCUUGGAGUUUACUCCUUUUCACCCUGAAGCCUGGGUAACAAAGCAAGUGCACAAAAAUCGUUAGAAUAACACUUUUCAACAAGAAGCAGUCCCAAAGUAAGUGAAAGGAAUUUCUUUAGUGAUUUUCUCCCUGAGGGGGAGCAGUAGUCUGAAAUCUCACUGGUAUCUAUUCUGAAAGAAUCAGGGGAUUUAUUUAUGUCAUAAUCUAGUAUUUGCAGCCUGCUUUGAUUUUCCUCGGGAUUUCCUUGGAUAUAUUUUACUGAGAGAAGUGUGAAAAGUACUUCUGAUUUGAGAAGCAUGAAAAGAAAGCCUCAGGCCAGGAGACCAUCUUCUACUCUGAGUCAUCCAUUUGCCUGUUCUGAACAACCUCUACUAUUGGCUCUUGCACAAAGAUCUCCUGAGAGUAGUUGUUGGUAGACUCUAAUUGCCUACUAUUUUUAACUCAUUCCCUUACUCCUUUGAUAAGAGUUGAGAGCCCAAGACUUUAAUGGAUUUUGCACGUAUGUCUUAUUCUAUUUACCUAAUCAUAAUGCAAUUUCACUUCAGCACAAACACAGCCAUAGCAAUCAUGACUUAAUUUUAAUUCCUAACUCACUGUAAGUAAGCCAGCUUAUGCUUUUACUAACCAAUUUCCAAUGCAUAUAAAUAAUAACACAUAUUUGGCAUAUCACAGUGCUUAGCUCUUUCUGAUGAGCAAAAGAUUAUAUAUUUAUUGGUGCUUAUCUUGAUGUUUCACAAGAUUUUUCAUUUAUUUCUAUACUGUUCCCUUAGGUUACUAGGUGCAGUCACUUUCCCUACCACCUGCUUUCCACUAUCUGCUCCUUAUCUUUUUCUUUAGAACCUUGCUUCACCUUCUUCCUCUAUUUGUGACCGCUCUGCAGGUGAUCAGGCUUCCUCCACUUUCCUUACCUUCUGAUUGUCUCAUACCAUCUUCCAUCAUUUUCCACACAUAUUACUUGCUUUAUACCAUACUGUAUUUGUAAAACACAUAAAAGAUUGCUAGUAUUUUUAUUUUAUAGAUGAUGAAACUGAAGUAUGAAAGAUAAAUGACUCACCAGAGGCUAUGAUUUGUGGGCCUUUUAGUGGGUUUAAUAGGAGGAAAGCAAAGGUGAAAUGCCAGAAUAGCGAAGGUGGAGAAAUUUGAGAUGAGUGAUAGAGACCUAAGAAAGUGGCAGUUAAAAUGGUCCAGGGCAUAAAAUGAUGUGAGGAAUAGUAGAAAGAAAAGGAGAAAAAUACCUUAAAAUUGAUGACUCUUCUGUCCUAAUAACUUCAAAGUGCAUUUCAAUUUGAAACCUUUAUCACCUCAUUGCGUGGAGGAGACAAAGGAAAGAAAACAUACAGAGCAUUUGUCUCUUCCUGAAGUUUCCUCAAUUCAUAAAAUCCCUAAGACACUAAGAGAAGAAAAUACUGUGAACAUGUUUAGUUUGAUAUUGGUUAUUGUCAUUUCUUUUCAUUCCUUCAAAUACAUUUUAUAAAUUCAAUUUCACAUAUUAUUUAACCUCAUCUACCUGACAUGAUAUUGUUCUCCUGACACAUCCUGUUUAUUAAAUAUUAAUCACAUAUUUUACUGGUUCCAAAUUAUGCUUUUAUUAUACUUGCUUAUUUGCAGGCGGGGGCUGGGGAAAGGGGGAGUGACUUUCAAUAGAAUCGGGAUCUCUAGUAUGAUCACCCGCAUGAUGACAUCAUCAACAGUAGACUUAAGAAUCCUGUUGGCUCCACUUGCUCUAAAUUUAUCAGUUUCCUCUGGUUCUCUCUAUCAGCCUUAAGGUUGGGUUCCUGUUCAAUACUUUCUUUCUUUUUUUUUUUUUUCUUACUUGUAGGGCCAAUGUGUAGAGCUGCCGACUUUCUUAAUAAUGCAAAUCCAAGGGGUGCCCCUAGCAUUCUGAAAUACGCAAACUUCAAAAACAUAUCUAAUAACCCUGCAUCAGCUCCAUAUAACAGUUUUAAUUAGGGCCCUUAGCAGGGCAUACACUAAUUACUGCAAAGAGCAAACAAAACUAAAAUGAGUAAUAAACAGAAAAUUUAUUUGAUGAGUAUCUACAAUGGGGCAGGUUCAAGGUGUGUUAUAAAUGUUGUGAACUCAAAAGUGGAUAGUAAAGAGCCAGCCCCACUCUCAUGGAGCUUACAUUUUAGUAUGGGUAGGGGCCAAUAAUAAUCAAAUCAAACCAAAUCAAACAAGAUGUUGAAAAGUAAUAAAUGCUAUGAAGAAAAAUAAAAUAGUAUAAUAUCAUAGAAUAGAGAGACAUGGACGCUGUUUUAGGGAAAAAAUGUUACGGGUAUAUAAGCAGAAAAGCAGAUACUCUGAUAAGAGGAUAUAUGAACUGAAAUCUGAAUGAAGCGAAUUAAGUGAGCCUGCCAUGUAAGAAGUAGGAUUUUGGGACAGGGGAAUAGCAAGUGCAAAUAUCCUGAGACAACAGUGUGCUGAGAGUGCUUAAGAAAUAGCAAGGGGGCUCUGUGGCAGGGGUGAAGUGGGCAACAAGUAGAAUGAUAAGAAAUGAUGACACAGAGGAAGCCAGAGAUAAGACCGAGUUCUGACAUUCUUAUAAGCCAUAAUAAGAAUUUUAUUCAAUGUAUGAUAGGAAAUCAUUGAAAGAUUUUAAGCAAGAGUAACACUAUCUGAUUUGCCAUUUAGAAGUCAUUAAGAGGUCAAGAAAUUCUAUAAUUGCUGGUAUGUUCAGAAUAGACUGAGUGAUACAAUAGAGGAAGCAAUGAGGCAAGUUAGGAGGCUACAGAAGUUGUCCAGGUUAGAAAUGAUGGUGUGACUUCAAUGGUAGUGGAGGUAGGGAGAAGGGUGCAAUAAGAACAUAUGCUUAAGGUAGCUCUUGUUACCUUUACUCUGACUGCUAUUCACUGAGGGAUUAGUUAUGAGGUAGGAGAGAAAGAGGGAUGAAAUGUGAUUGUAAGGUUCUAACCCUGAGCAACUAGAUGAAUGGUGAUACCAUUUUCUAUGAUGGGUAACAUUGAAAGACGAAAGUUUGAAAGCAGAUGAUAAUAGGAAUCAAUAUAUUAUGCCUGGAGAUGUUGAGUUGAGUUUGAGGUGCUUACAAGACAAUUUAAUUAGAGAUAAUUGUGGUUUGUAACAGGGAAAGAGGUACUUUUGCAAUGUGCAUGUGGUCACUUAUCUGCUGACUCAACUUGCUGGUGUGAGGAAGCAGCUAACUCUCAGAAAUUUAGGUAGUGUGAAAGAGAAGGCAAGUAUCUAGUAGUAGAGACUAUUUUCACUGUUUGAAUUAUUAUGGAUAGACUGACAGUGGGAAUAUUAUUAAAAUAUGUGACAAGGAAUUCCAGUCAUAAUUAAAGUAAAUAUUUUGCCAGAAAUGAUAACAAAUACCUUUGCACAGAGUUCCCAUUGGUCCCGAAACCUGAAGGUGCUGGCAGUGCCUUUAAGAGGCUAUAGAAUAUGAUCUGCUGUAGUUUUGCUGAGCUUGUUAAAAAUAACCCUUGGCCAGACACAUGCCAUCCUUCAGAAUUAAGUAGAUCCCUCAGCACCUGCUUCCUGUACCCUGUCUUCUGUUACCAUGUGCUUUCUCAGAUACUAAUGGGUUCUUGGCUUUUGCUUCUAGGUAUAAUUGUGAUCUCUUCCCAGGAAAAAGGUAAUGAUCCUGGAACAAGAUAUAUAUGCCUGGUAUAUAUUUAUUAUCUUACAAUUGAGCUUUCAUUACCAAUAAGAGUUCUCUUACCUUGAGUCCUCACCCUGUGCUAAGCUCUUGCAAAACACAUCCCAGAUUUUAUCUCAUUUAAUCCUGGCAACAGUGGUACAAGGCAAAACCUGGUAUUAUUCUCAUUUUUUAUUUAGAGAAAUAUAAUUGUAAAGAAAUUAAGUAAAUUGUGCAAGGCCUCACAGUAAGUUGUAGGACAAUAAAGACGCAACAGGUGCCAUCUACCUCUAAUGGCUGACCACUUACUAUAUUAAAUUGUUCUUGUGAGCAUGGGAGAAUCUUGGGGAAACUAUUAUACAGACUGCUGGAGGUAUGUGACUGGUUACUUUGAAAUUGAACUCUAAUGUGGUCCCAAGAAUUUUUGAAAUCUUGAAAGAGAGUAGAACUUCCAGUAACCCUUCAGAUGUUUCAGAGAAAAUAUCAGGUUUCUGUUUUAAAAUAGAGGUAAUAAACACAUUUUUAAGACAGGCUCUUUUAUUCUAGAAAAAUCUCUUGAGAUAUAUAACUAAACAAAUAAAAGACAGACUCCGAUAUCAGAAAAGCAAUUACAGACCCUUCAUUAUAAGAAGUAAAAAUUGCUCUAUACAAUAGUAGAAAAUAUGGUCACUGUGGUACAUCUCUGCAGCCUGACAUCUGAUUUUUGUUGCUGUUAAUAGAAUGAGACUUGGCUGUUCUAAAAAACUACAGCUUGUCCUGUGGAGAACUGUGAUUACUUCUGAUGGAAAAUGACAGGCUGAAUGCCAGAAGGCAAAGCAACUGUUUUCCUAAGAGUCUUAAGACCCUGAAGGACUUGUGCCUCCUUUGGUGAUCUAGGGGAUAAAGAAGUGGAAUGGAAAUGGAGAGGAAUAGCUGGAACAAAAAGGCAAAGAGGUAUAAUCUAUCAUAAAUAUGCCGCCUUUAUAAGCAUGUGUGUACCAAAAAAAAGCCACAAACCAUAUAAAGUGAGCCUAUAUUAGAAAUAGAAGUAUUUUAUGAAAUAAUAUAUUUAAAAUUUCCAGUAAACAGAAUAUAAAUUUUUCCCAAAUACCCAUAAUAUAUUUACAAUAUUAGAAAAAAAUGCAAGCAGAAUUUAUGUAAAUUAUAUUAAUGGAAUUAACGGAAUAAAAUUAGAAGUUAAAAUUAAAAAUAGCCAAAAUUAAUAUUUGAAAAUAAAAAUAUUUUGUUAUUUGUGUUAAAGGGGAAAUCAAAACUAAAAUUAGAUAUUAUUUAAAAAUGAAUCUUACUAUAUAUCAAAUCACAUAAUAUCAAAAUCAUACUCUAAAGAAAUUUUGUAGCCACAGAUGUAUAUUUUUAGUCUGAUAAAUGAAAUCUGCAUUCACCUCAAGAAGCUAGCGAAACAACAAAACAUUAAGAACUAAAAUCAACAUAAUUUCUGGUCACUUUGUUAAAUAAAAUUGAAACCAGAAUAUUUCCUUGUACCUCUAUUAAGUUAAUACCAAGAACAAGCAAAAAUAAAGCAAUUACUUGUUCUAGAAAAUAUUUUCUCUUUGGAAAUAAGACGAAUAACCAGCUAAAAUAGGUUUUUAAUCAAAACUAACAAAAGUGUUGAUCAAUACUCAUUUCAAGAUCCUGGCUUCAUGGUGCCCAUCAAUCCAAAACUACUUCCUAGACCCUGUUGAAUCUCAACCAACUUCCCCCCUGUCAAGACUAGCUUUAAAAUCACUCAUGAAGGUAUGAGAUUCUAAUAAACAUCUCCCUUUCCCUCUGACUUCUCCUUCUUGAGACACUACACUUGUACUCUAUUAAGGUGAUAGUUUUUCUUCCUGCAAUAGGUCACAUAAACUUAGCUGUCUUCAUCAAUAUUUCUGAAGGUAUUUUGUGAAGUUAACAGCAAUGGAAGAGAAAUAAAUCAUAAAUAUUUGAAAACCAGUUAUUUUAAUAAAAAAAGAAGUGUCUUUUUUUUUAACAGAAUUGCAAAUAACAUAUGGAGAUACUGUGCUCCCAGGAGGUGGAGAUGAAUUAUUAUCCUUUCUUCACACCUUCCCAUUGAGAUUGGGCUAGAUUUGCUGAUAUUUUUCAAAAAAAUAGUGCAGUGAAAAAAAAAAAGGUGCAUUGUUUUAGUACAAGAAACUUGGCACAUUCUACCUCAACCAAAUGAUGAAAGUUAACAUCACAGAUUCCAUGUGGACAUUACUACCUCCCUGGUAUGAUGUGAUGAGAAAGGCAUUUCCCUCUGUGGUAUUAUUUCAAAUGACUGAUAAUUCUGGUCUAAUCAGGAGAAAAACAACACAGAUCCAUUGGAGACUUUCAACAGGACACCUGCCCAGUAUGCCUCAAGACUUUCAAGGUCAUGAAAACCAGAAAGGAGAGAUAAACAAUCACAGAUUAAGACAUUGUGGAAAUUGAACAAUCAGAAGCAAUGAUGUAGCCUAGAUUAAAUCCUAAAUCUGUAAGAGGACAUUGAUGGAAAAACUGGUGACAUCCAAAGAAGUCUUGAAUUUAGUUACAGUAAUAUCCUAAAAGAAAAAAAAUUGAAAUUGAAAGCAAAAUAAAGUACUUCACAAAUAAAUGAGAAAUACAUCAGAUAAUUCAGAUUAUAAACAAAGAGAAAAAAUCAAUUAG